Molecule: unclassified non-coding RNA, 297 nt
Organism: Cercocebus atys (sooty mangabey)
Lineage: Eukaryota; Metazoa; Chordata; Mammalia; Primates; Cercopithecidae
Rfam family: Metazoan signal recognition particle RNA
About the family: The signal recognition particle (SRP) is a universally conserved ribonucleoprotein. It is involved in the co-translational targeting of proteins to membranes.
Source: Ensembl
CUCAGGUAUGGUAGUGCAUGCCUGUAGUUCCAGCUACUUGGGAGACUGAGGUAGGAGGAUCGCUUGAGCCCAGCAGUUCUGGGCUACAGUGCACUAUGCUGAUUGGGUAUCUGCACUAAGUUCAGCACCAAUGUGGUGACCUCCUGUGAGUGGGGGACUGCCAGGUUGCCUAAGGAAGGGUGAACUGGCCCAGGUUAGAAGCAGCAGGUUAAAACUCCAGUGCUGAUCAGUAGUGGGAUCAUGCCUGUGAAUAGUCACUGCACUCUGGUGCGGACAAUAUAGUGAGACUCUGCCUCU